RNAcentral lists this transfer RNA (87 nucleotides) under Minisyncoccota bacterium. RNAcentral describes it as "tRNA-Ser". It matches the Rfam family "tRNA". Rfam says of the family: Transfer RNA (tRNA) molecules are approximately 80 nucleotides in length. Their secondary structure includes four short double-helical elements and three loops (D, anti-codon, and T loops). The record is from RNAcentral. Lineage: Bacteria; Bacillati; Minisyncoccota. RNAcentral also lists the same sequence under 1 other name.
GGAUGGGUGGCUGAGUGGUCUAAAGCAACAGUCUUGAAAACUGUCGCCUUCGCAAGGGGGCCGUGAGUUCGAAUCUCACCCCAUCCG